Molecule: RNA transcript, 3833 nt
Organism: Marmota monax (woodchuck)
Lineage: Eukaryota; Metazoa; Chordata; Mammalia; Rodentia; Sciuridae
Gene: Pms1
Gene name: PMS1 homolog 1, mismatch repair system component
Exons: 20
Source: RefSeq, a predicted model, not a curated record
CGCGCGGUGCCCUUCCCGCAGCACGCGUGCGCUAAGGGCUAGCGGGGCAACUCUAGUGGACGGGCCUGGGUUCCGCGAGGGACGCUGGCUGCUUGCCGCUGGUGGAUGCUAUUCUGCUAAGCAUUAGAAUGAAACAGUUGCCUGCAGCAACAGUUCGUCUCCUUUCAAGUUCUCAGAUAAUCACUUCAGUAGUCAGUGUUGUAAAAGAACUCAUUGAAAACUCCUUGGAUGCUGGUGCUACAAGCAUAGAUGUGAAACUGGAGAACUAUGGAUUUGAUAAAAUUGAGGUUCGAGACAAUGGUGAGGGUAUCAAGGCUAUUGAUGCACCUGUAAUGGCAGUGAAGUACUACACCUCAAAAAUAAACAGUCAUGAAGAUCUGGAAAAUUUGACAACCUAUGGUUUUCGUGGGGAAGCCUUGGGGUCAAUUUGUUGUGUUGCUGAGGUUUUAAUUACAACAAGGACAGCUGCUGAUAAUUUUAGCACUCAGUAUGUUUUAGAUGGCAGUGGCCAUAUAUUUUCUCAAAAACCUUCACAUCUUGGUCAAGUAACCAGUCUAAUCUGGAUGGCCAGUGGCUCUGUAUCACCCAUACUUCUCAUGCUUUUAUGUAUUCAUCUCCAUGGGAACUAUGAAAUAACAAUCCUUAAAUAUGGACUCCACCUGAUCUUUGCCCUUUUGCUGGCUGAUUUUUCUUUGCCUGCUGACCUCAGUCUUCUACCUUUAGUGAGAUCAGGUACAACUGUAACAGCUUUGAGAUUAUUUAAGAAUCUACCUGUAAGAAAACAAUUUUACUCCACCGCUAAAAAAUGUAAAGAUGAAAUUAAAAAGGUCCAGGAUCUCCUCAUAAGUUAUGGUAUCCUUAGACCAGAUUUAAGGAUUGUUUUUGUACAUAAUAAGGCAGUUAUUUGGCAGAAAACUAGAGUAUCAGACCACAAGAUGGCUCUCAUGUCAGUUCUGGGGACUGCUGUUAUGGGAAACAUGGAAUCUUUUCAUUACCACUCUGAAGAAUCUCAGAUUUAUCUAAGUGGAUUCCUUCCAAAGCAUGAUGCGGACCACUCUUCCACAAGUCUUUCAACCCCAGAGAGGAGUUUCAUCUUUAUUAAUAAUAGACCAGUACAUCAAAAAGACAUAUUAAAGUUAAUCCGACAUUAUUAUAAUCUAAAGUGCCUAAAGGAAUCUACUCGUUUAUAUCCCAUUUUCUUCAUGAAAAUUGAUGUUCCUACAGCCAAUGUGGAUGUAAAUUUAACACCAGAUAAAAGUCAAGUAUUAUUACAGAAUAAGGAAUCUGUUUUAAUUGCUCUUGAAAAUCUGAUGACAACUUGUUAUGGACCUCUACCUAGUACAAAUUCUUAUGAAAAUAAUAAAACAGAUGUUUCCUCAGCUGACAUGGUUGUUAGUAAAACAGCAGAAACAGAUGUGCUUUUUAAUAAAAUGGAAUCAUCUGGAAAUAAUUACCCAAAUGUUGAUACUUUGGCCAUUCCUUUCCAAAAUGAUGUCCAUAAUGGUGAAUCUAGAAAAAACCCUAAUCAUUGUUCAGAUCACCAGAUAAGUAUUGAUAAGCAUUGUGAUGAUUUUAGUUCUGAAAAUUACAGCAUUAGUAAAGACCCAAGAAAUACAUUUCAAAAAAUCUCAUUGAAUAAUUUAUUAGGGGAGGACAAGCAGAGUGAAUGUAGUGAAACUUGUUUUGUAGGUUCUAUUAAGCGUACCCAAUUUGAAAAUGGCAGUGAAGGCCAUAUUGAUGAGAAUGAGGAAAAAGAAGAGGAAGCAGUUUCUGAGAAGUCUUUGGAAAUUUGUGCAGAUGACUGGAGCAAGGGAAAUGUACUUAAGAAUUCAGAGGGAGAAAAUAUUGAACCUGUGAAAAUUUUAGUGCCUCAAGAAAGUUUAGCAUCUAAAGUAAGUAAUAAUAAUCAUCCAGGCCUUGAACAAAAGAACUCCAGUGAUGAUUCCUGUAUCAAAAAAUCAAAUGUAAUAGAUAACAAAUCUGGACAGCUUACAGCCUAUGACUUAAUUAGUAGUCGAGUAAUCAAAAAACCCAUGUCAGCAAGUGCCCUUUUUAUUCAAGAUCGACGUGCUCAGUUUCUCACACAAAAUCCUAAGACUAAUUUGGAGGAUGCAACAAUACAAAUUGAAGAACUGUGGAAGACAUUGAGUGAAGAGGAAAAACUGAAAUAUGAGGAAAAGGCUACUAAAGAUUUGGAACGAUACAAUAGUCAAAUGAAGAAAGCCAUUGAACACGAGUCACAAAUACUAAAAGAUGGCAGAAAAAAGAUAAAAUCCACCAGCACAUGGACUUUGGCACAGAAGCACAAGUUGAAAACCUCAUUAUCUAAUCAACCAAAACUUGAUGAGCUUUUUCAGUCCCAACCUGAAAAAAAAAGGAGUGAAAACAUUAAAACAGUAAAGAUUCCCUUUUCUGUGAAAAACUUAAAAAUAAAUUUUGAGAAACAAAAAAAAAUUGACUUAGAAGAGGAUGAACUUUGCUUGAUCCACAAUCUCAGGUUUCCUGAUGCAUGGCUAAUUACAUCCAAAACAGAAAUAAUGUUACUGAAUCCAUAUAGAGUAGAAGAAGCCCUGCUAUUUAAAAGACUUCUUGAGAAUUAUAAACUUCCUGCAGAACAACUGGAAAAGCCAAUUAUAUUAACAGAGAGUCUUCUUAAUGGAUCUCAUUAUUUAGAGGUCUUAUAUAAAAUGACAACAGAUGACCAAAGAUACAGUGGGUCAACUUACCUGUCUGAUCCUCGUCUUACAGCAAAUGGUUUCAAGAUAAGAUUGAUAUCAGGUGUUUCCAUUACUGAAAACCACUUAGAAAUAGAAGGAAUGGCUAAUUGUCUUCCAUUCUAUGGAGUAAUGGAUUUAAAAGAAAUUCUUAAUGCUAUAUUAAACAAAGAUGCAAAGGAAAUUUAUGAAUGUAGACCUCGCAAAGUGAUAAGUUAUUUAGAGGGAGAAGCAGUGCGCCUAUCUAGACAAUUACCCAUGUAUUUAUCAAAAGAGGACAUCCAAGAUAUCAUCUGUAGAAUGAAGCAACAAUUUGGAAAUGAAAUUAAAGGAUCAUAGAAAUGAAUGAUGAGUUAAGAAGAAACAGGCAAGAAAUUGUGAAUGGACUGAACAUAUUUUUGGAAGAAAGUGAAGAAGAAGAAGUUUCUUUAGAAGAACUUGAAGAAGAAUUUGACAUUCUUGAGGUAUCAAAAUAUAUUAUUUCUACCCAUCACCCCCACCAUUGUCUGGUUCUUAUAUUUGCAAGUAAAAUGUGUUAAUAACUUUAUAAGGAGAACAAAGACAGUAUUCAACAAGAAUGUUGAGUUUAUGAAAUUCAUGAAAAAAAGAUGCUCUAAAUUUAUCUAAACUUAUCUUGGCUUUCAGAACAGCAAAUAUUCUGAUAUUUGUCUGGAAGAAAAAUGUAUGUUUUUUGUUCUUUUUUGUGUUGUGGCUUUCUGGGUUUCUUAUAGUUAUUGUUGUCCCUUUGUUUUCUCCUGCAUUACAAAUGGACCUAAGUAUUUCCAGAAACUAGGAGCUAAAGGAGAAGGAAUCAGAUAGGAAUGAUUUCUAUCAAUGCAAAUGGUAGCAAGAUGAAUUUUCUCUUAAAGGGGAAAACUAUGAUGAGGAAGAAACAGAAACUAUAAGUGAAGAUGGUAGUUCAAAAGAAGCACAUGAUAACAUAAGAACACCUCAAAAAGUAUCCCUCAGGAGUAUCUCAUCAAUGACAGAUGAAGAGGCAAAGAAAACACCGAUAUGGAAAAGAAAAGAAAGCGACUGGAACGCUUUGGACUCCUUUGAUAAUCUCUCUAAACUUUUCCUCUCUAAAUUUUAUAUAUUAAAAGUAAAUAUAAUGACCAA